UACGUAGGGAUGCAAGCGUUAGUUCGGAAUUACUGGGCGUAAAGCGUGCGCAGGCGGUUUUGUAAGUCUGACGUGAAAUCCCCGGGCUCAACCUGGGAAUUGCGUUGGAGACUGCAAGGCUAGAAUCUGGCAGAGGGGGGUAGAAUUCCACGUGUGAGCAGUGAAAUGCGUAGAGAUGUGGAGGAACACCGAUGGCGAAGGCAGCCCCCUGGGUCAAGAUUGACGCU
RNAcentral lists this ribosomal RNA (227 nucleotides) under uncultured bacterium. RNAcentral's name for it is "partial 16S ribosomal RNA". It matches the Rfam family "Bacterial small subunit ribosomal RNA", at positions 524 to 747 of the family's 1533-position model. The record is from RNAcentral.